Molecule: long non-coding RNA, 368 nt
Filed under: Marmota monax (woodchuck)
Lineage: Eukaryota; Metazoa; Chordata; Mammalia; Rodentia; Sciuridae
Source: RNAcentral
GCACCUCCUGCAAGAAGAGUGAGUUUGGGGACUUCCCUGGGAAGCUGGGCUGGCUGAGGCUGGGGGAGAACCCAGAGCUGGCUCCUGUGUAAGCCUCUGGGGAAUGGGUCUUCCUUUGCCUCCAGAGGUCAUUCCACUUCCUCUCCAGACUGAGCUCAGAUGAGCCAGAGCAGCCUUUUCUAUAGGGAUACAAACCCCAAAGUUGUUUCUUAUUGUCCCAGAAUGCAGCUGAGCUCUUAUAAUAACGUGGGCUGGGGAGGAGCCAGGUCUGCUGUGGGGCUAAGUCUGUUCUGACCUCUCACUCUUCGCAUUUUUCCCCAGGCUGCUGCUCCUGCUGCCCUGUGGGCUGUGCCAAGUGUGCCCAGGGG